This 2527-nucleotide long non-coding RNA is filed under the name Lupinus angustifolius (narrow-leaved blue lupine). Its description in RNAcentral is "long non-coding RNA (LANG_LNC002736)". Lineage: Eukaryota; Viridiplantae; Streptophyta; Magnoliopsida; Fabales; Fabaceae. The record is from RNAcentral.
GGCACACCUCAAUCUACUUCUUCUUCUAAAUCCCAUAUUUCACUUUCAAAUCGAUUCUCCGAUUCCAAACCCAACCGCGACAACGUCGAACCACCGAGGUUGUCGUUCAAUCACUACACAUCGUGUCCCUCAUUCUCACCGGGACCCACCCCACAUUACACUUUCCGAUCAAGUUUCAUUUUUUAUGCGUCCAUUGCCCUCAACAACGCAAAUGAAUAGUGGGUUUCAUUUCUCAAAGCGUGACAUAGAAUGAAGCGUAUGAAACGAAUCAUUUAUCUUUAAAGGGUACUAAAAUGUGAAUUUAGAAUGUUGGGGUGGAUUUGAAGCGAUUAAGGUUGGCGAAAAGUGUUUAUUUGUGUUAAUCAAUUAAAUUAAAUUUUUAUAAGUUUUGGGUUUUGGGAAUAAUUGGAUUUAGAAUAAAGGGUGGUGAUGAGAGUUGAAUUCAAGGUUUUGAAGGUGCAACAAUGACGGGAGUGUCAUUGGGUCUACGGACAGGGAGCAAUGGGUCGCUGCAGCAAUUGCAAAACGGCAACGUUUUGCAGCAGCAGCCGAUGGCGUUGUCACCCCGCCUGGUACGUAGACCUUCGAAGACGCUCCUUUACAAUCCAAGAGAGAAAGAGAGGGUCUGCCCUUUUAUUAUUUGCAGGCACAUUGGAAGAGGGAGUGUGGCAAUGCUGCUUAUGAUUGCCCUUGGUUUUUCUGCUUUUGUAUUUGGUUGCUUUACACUUUACAAAGGUUAGGCUUUUACCUCCCUUUUUCUCUUUUUGUUCAUGAAAGUUGGUAGAUUUUCAUUGAUUCAAGUGAAUUAGCAACUUAGUUGUUUGAGUUAUUGAUUACUUGUACAUUAGUCCCCUGAAUUUAAUUAUGUUUAUGAGUUAGUCUACAAAUGUUUAAAUCUAUCAACUCAUGAAGGUAGAUUUGUUGGAGUGUACCUAAUAGGUAGAAGUAGAGAGGAAACUAGAAAAGCUAUAGCAGAAACCAUUAAGAAGGACUUAGAUUAAAUCACUUUUUCAUGUUUUGUCUAUGGACAUGAUUUUUGAUAGGUCAUUAUGUCAUUACGACCGUGAACUUGAUUGUUGCAUUUUCUUCUUUCCCACUAGUGCUUUUUGCAGCAUUGGCACCUUGAACCAGGGAAGAUGGCAAUGCUGCUUGUGGUUGGCCUUGGCCUCUUUGUUUUAAAAAUAUUAAGAAAUAUAAUGUUAAUAAUAAAUAUAUAAUUUUAUAUCAAUGAUAAAAUAUAUGUAUUAAAUUAAAGGGUCUAAAAAAUCUUGAACUAAAAUUGAAAUAUUUAAUUAAUAAAUCAAUUAAUAUUUAAUAGUGAUGAAAACACAAACAAAAUAAUGUUUUUAGGUCAAAAUAAGGGGUGAAAUUAUCAAAAUAAAAAACAACAUACUUAAUCUUCGAUUUCUUUCCACAAAGGAGAAGAAGAGUUUUGACGUGGAUACAUGCAAUUUUUCCUCCCUAUUCACUCCUUCUAUCAAAUGAGAGAAAUGAUCAAACUCUAUUCUCUUUCUCUUUUACUUCUCUCUCUUUCUUUCUUAAAUCACAUCUACUAAACAAAGCAUAAAGUAUCAUCUUUCCUUUUUAAACCAUUGGAACCUUUAAUAUUUAUAUUUCACACUAUAUGAUGGAGAAUUGGGAACUCAACAAAAUGUUUCUUUGUUUAUGGUUAACACAAUCAAUAAUAUAAUUAUGAGCGUAACAUAUAUUGUAAAUAUAAAUAUUUAUAUGCAAUUAUUAUAUCAUUAAUUUAAAAAUUAAUAAUAAUUAAAUACAAAUGAUAAAUAAUAAAUUAAUAAUAUAUAAAAAAUAAAUUUAAAAAAGAAACAAAACUAUAGCUUCUUGUCUCUUCCCUCCAUUCACGGCACACCUCAAUCUACUUCUUCUUCUAAAUCCCAUAUUUCACUUUCAAAUCGAUUCUCCGAUUCCAAACCCAACCGCGACAACGUCGAACCACCGAGGUUGUCGUUCAAUCACUACACAUCGUGUCCCUCAUUCUCACCGGGACCCACCCCACAUUACACUUUCCGAUCAAGUUUCAUUUUUUAUGCGUCCAUUGCCCUCAACAACGCAAAUGAAUAGUGGGUUUCAUUUCUCAAAGCGUGACAUAGAAUGAAGCGUAUGAAACGAAUCAUUUAUCUUUAAAGGGUACUAAAAUGUGAAUUUAGAAUGUUGGGGUGGAUUUGAAGCGAUUAAGGUUGGCGAAAAGUGUUUAUUUGUGUUAAUCAAUUAAAUUAAAUUUUUAUAAGUUUUGGGUUUUGGGAAUAAUUGGAUUUAGAAUAAAGGGUGGUGAUGAGAGUUGAAUUCAAGGUUUUGAAGGUGCAACAAUGACGGGAGUGUCAUUGGGUCUACGGACAGGGAGCAAUGGGUCGCUGCAGCAAUUGCAAAACGGCAACGUUUUGCAGCAGCAGCCGAUGGCGUUGUCACCCCGCCUGGUACGUAGACCUUCGAAGACGCUCCUUUACAAUCCAAGAGAGAAAGAGAGGGUCUGCCCUUUUAUUAUUUGCAGGCACAUUGGAAGAGGGAG